GGCCCAGAUCUGAAGUAAAGUAUGUUAGUAGGAUUGUCUGACCCUACUGAAGUACUCUACUUCAAGUUUGUGCCC
Molecule: non-coding RNA, 75 nt
Organism: Haemonchus placei
Lineage: Eukaryota; Metazoa; Nematoda; Chromadorea; Rhabditida; Trichostrongylidae
Source: Rfam